Long non-coding RNA from Dermochelys coriacea (leatherback sea turtle), 1891 nucleotides. RefSeq lists it as uncharacterized. NCBI's taxonomy places the organism in Eukaryota, Metazoa, Chordata, Testudines, Dermochelyidae. The record is from RefSeq and is a predicted model, not a curated record. The transcript has 2 exons.
GAGAAAACUGAAAGGAUUGUAGAGUACCUCCAUGAAAGCUUCCUAGAGAUAUCCAUGGCAGAUUCCCAGGCCAUCCCCAUGCACAUAAACAGUCUUUUUUUGGAGAGCACCCUCUGUGUAGCUGGUGUAGCCACCGAUACCCACUACACCUAUGUUUUUGUUCAGAUUAAACAUAAAAAAUAAUAUCAUGUAACCCUUACAAUUUGAUUGGAAAUGUGUACUCACCAGAGGUGCCUUCCCUGGCCUCAUGCUCUGCUGCCAACUGGUCCCGUGAAGGGGUAGGGUCCAGGGUUAAAAACAGUUUUUGGCUGUCAGGGAGAAUGGAUCCUCCACUUGCCUGCCUCACGUUCUCCUCCUCUUUCUCAACAAUGCCCUCCUUGUUGUUGCUCAGGGUCACCUGGGGCUUCUGGGAGGUAUCCACGGAGCAUGUGGGGUAGCGGUGGGGUCGCUGUCAAGAAUAGCAUGCAGCUCCUCAUAAAAACGGCUUGUUUGUGGGGCAGAACCAGAACGACUGUUUGCCUCGCUUAUCUUCUGGUAUGCUUGCAGAAGCUCCUUUAUUUUCAGGGGGCAGUGCAGUGUGUCCCUGGUGUAGUCCUUUUCCUCCACGCAAUCUUAGCAUAGAUGUCUGCAUUUCUUCUGCUGGAUCGGAGCUCUGCCCACACGGACUCUUCUCCACACAGCAAUAAGAUCCACCACCUCCUCUGUAUUCCUUGCUGGAGCGCAUUUGCGGCCUUGAGUCUCCAUGAUCAUCUUUGUUGGCAAGUUCUCCAUGCUGAUCAAACAGGAAAUGAAAAUUCAAAAGCUCCUGGCGCUUUAACAGGGGAGCGGCUGUUUCCUGUGUACGUGGCUGACAUACCCUGGAGUUGAAAGUGCUCUUCAUAGCAGUCACAGCAGAGACCUAGAGGCCAAUUCAUUUGAAUUACACAGUGCAGUGUCUACACUAUCCUCAUGUUGACCCAUGGAUGUCGAAUCAAGCGCUAUGCCUCUCGUGGAGACAGCAAAAGGGAAGAGACAAAAAAGACAGGAAAAUGGAUUGUAAAACUACACAGAUUGACAAGUGAAGUAUCAAAGUAUUUCUUUCUAUUUUGUAAGUGGACUAAAUUUCAACUUGCUAUCCUUUAAUGAUUAUGGUACUUUGAUAUUUUUAAAGAACAGAUUUGCUUAGUUGUCUAGUUACUGUUAGAGUAACCUCAGUGUCCACCUUAAGAAAGAUGGAAGGUGUUAAGAAGUCCUUUGGUGUGAGAGCCACCAUGUCAGAGCAUGUAUAGGUGGUGCAACAGAAUUGAAUCAACCACUAACACUAGUAGUAAAGAAUAAUAAUCUUGCUGCUCCAGCAUUAUCUGUCUCAUUCAGAAAGUGCAACUGUGUCCAUCCAAGCAAACUAAAAAGAGGAUCAGUUUUUCAUCUUACAAUAUAUUGAAACAAACUGUAGGUGAAAAAGUAGCAAAAAAUCAAUUUUAACAUGCUUUAUAAGUUUAUGUUUUUAAUUGGCUGCAUUGCCAAUCAUGAAUGAAAAUUAGGAUUUCAUUUCAAGAAUUACGUCAAUAAUUAUACAUACAUUUGCUUAACCCUUUUCCAUUAAGAAAUCCAUAUUUUAAAUCAAUUUAAAAGAUAUGUCUUUAUCCUUACACAUUGCAGUAAUUUCAUAAGCAAUAACUUUUUAAACCAGUAAAUAAGCAGUUAAGGGACAGAAGAAAGAGCAGUUUUUGUAAAAUACAUUUAUUUCAUAACAUUCUCUCUCUUUUUACAUGUGUUACUAAUUAAAGUGUUUUUAAGAAUUUUUCAAAGUCCUUUACUGAGGCCUUGGCAACCUCUGUACAAACACCUCAUCGGGCAUGGGAUACUAGUUUGUCCAGAGAGAUGUAGCUGGGCUGUGCUGGGUCAUACUGUG